Molecule: long non-coding RNA, 344 nt
Filed under: Eucalyptus grandis
Lineage: Eukaryota; Viridiplantae; Streptophyta; Magnoliopsida; Myrtales; Myrtaceae
Description: long non-coding RNA (EGRA_LNC002310)
Source: RNAcentral
UUUGGCUCAUGAUGACUAUAUAAGUGAUGUGGUGUCAACUCACUAAUUUGUUUGAUUGAUUAGGAACUAAGGCCGAAAGGCUUGAACGCAUGUUUUAUACUCAUUUUAUAUGUGUCUUUUAUAUUUAUGUUUAGGUGUGAUGCAUUAUCUUGUGGGAAUUUUGGAUGACAUUUAAAACCUAUUUUAGGGACUUUUAGCAUGCAUUGCCACGCAAGAACAUAAAUGGCGGCUAAUAGCCAUAAGUCAUUUAAAAAAUAAAUUGGGUAGGAGUCUUAGUGUGGCUCGUUGUAUGAAUAAUCAAAGGUCGACCCCAAGACCAUUCUUGAUUUGCUUGAAUAUUCUUC